GGAAUCUUAGACAAUGGGGGAAACCCUGAUCUAGCCAUGCCGCGUGAGUGACGAAGGCCUUAGGGUUGUAAAGCUCUUUUACCAGGGAUGAUAAUGACAGUACCGGGAGAAUAAGCUCCGGCUAACUCCGUGCCAGCAGCCGCGGUAAUACGGAGGGAGCUAGCGUUGUUCGGAAAUACUGGGCGUAAAGCGCACGUAGGCGGCGCCGCAAGUCAGGGGUGAAAUCCCGGGGCUCAACCCCGGAACUGCCCUUGAAACUGCAGUGCUAGAAUUCUGGAGAGGCGAGUGGAAUUCCGAGUGUAGAGGUGAAAUUCGUAGAUAUUCGGAAGAACACCAGUGGCGAAGGCGACUCGCUGGACAGACAUUGACGCUGAGGUGCGAAAGCGUGGGGAGCAA
Molecule: ribosomal RNA, 396 nt
Filed under: uncultured bacterium
Lineage: Bacteria
Description: bacterial SSU rRNA
Rfam family: Bacterial small subunit ribosomal RNA
Source: RNAcentral